This is a long non-coding RNA of Wasmannia auropunctata (little fire ant), 966 nucleotides long. RefSeq lists it as uncharacterized. The record is from RefSeq and is a predicted model, not a curated record. NCBI's taxonomy places the organism in Eukaryota, Metazoa, Arthropoda, Insecta, Hymenoptera, Formicidae. The transcript has 2 exons.
AGAAGGACAAAUAAUAAAUAAAUGUAUAAUAUUUAAUAGAAAUAUUAUAAGUGCAUUAUUUAUGCAAAUUUCAUAUUGCGAUAAAUACUUACAUUAACUAAGGUACAAUUUGUUAAAAUCCUUUCUAAAGGCAUGUUAAAUCGAUACUCACAUCUAUCUAAGUUUGAAGUCUCUUUUCCGCAAUUUUGAUUAGUUCUGUCAUUGCGCUUACUUCGCGAGUAGCUGUCAUUGCAUAUUUUAACAGUUGUGUGUAUUGAGGUUGAUAGAAUGUAUAGCAAAUAUAAUAAAAAGUGAAAAAUGUUAAAUAGUGCGCGCGAAGCGUGCUGUACUGCUGGUAUUAUUAAAACUAUGUAUAUUAAAAAAGUUAUAUUAAAACUAUAACUAUGUAUUUAUUAUAAAACUAGUGAGAUAAAAGGAUAAACAUUGAUUUAACUGCAAUCAUGAUAAUAAAAAACACAAAAAAGUCAAGAAUGAUGAUCACAAAACGGACAUUAAAUAUUUGAAGUUAUGAUAAAUAUAAACCGAACAAUUGAUCUGAAUCGAAGGUUAAAUGAGAGCCGUAGUACAUGGAAAAAUCUAAACUGGUUAGAGAAUCCUAUUUCUGUAAUUAAGAUUGUGAGUUGCGGAUGUAUAUAUUCAUAUUAUAGGUAUAUCAUAGUAAUCUUUUCUAAGAAGCGUGAGAUUAAACGAAAAAUUAUCGCAAAGAAAUAGAAGGCAACAUACGCAUCUAUCCAUCUACCGGUGUUCUCACCUGUUCUUGCGAUAUCUUACGUAAUAACGCGUGUGCAUACUCGCUUUAAUUUGCAUUCCAAAUGCAACCGGAAAGAACGAGCGUCGCAAUAGUACUGUUAAGUAUAAAAAGAGAAUUCAAGAGCGGAUCGGUCAAAUCGAGAAUCUAACUAAUACAUGUGUGAAUUAACAUUGAUAUAAUAAUUAUGUCAAAAAUAAAGAGUAACUUUUUUUAUA